This 72-nucleotide transfer RNA is filed under the name Trichonephila inaurata madagascariensis. It matches the Rfam family "tRNA". Rfam says of the family: Transfer RNA (tRNA) molecules are approximately 80 nucleotides in length. Their secondary structure includes four short double-helical elements and three loops (D, anti-codon, and T loops). Lineage: Eukaryota; Metazoa; Arthropoda; Arachnida; Araneae; Nephilidae. The record is from Rfam by way of RNAcentral.
GUCCCUGUAAUGCAAUGGUAGCGUGUUGGACUUCUAAUCCAAAGGUCGUGGGUUGGAAUCCCACCUGGAAUG